This 66-nucleotide transfer RNA is filed under the name Chtenopteryx sicula. RNAcentral's name for it is "tRNA-Gly". Lineage: Eukaryota; Metazoa; Mollusca; Cephalopoda; Oegopsida; Chtenopterygidae. The record is from RNAcentral.
AUUUUAUUAGUAUAAAUAGUAUAUUUGUUUUCCAAACAAAGGGUUUAAUUGUGAUUAAAUAAAAUA